GAAAAUUAAUAUAAUUAUUAUUUAUAUUAUGAAAUUAUUAAAUCGGGAAAAUGGAGAAAACAGACCGAUAUGCAGCCACCAAAAAUAGAAAAACUACAUCAGAACAAACUAGGACAAUUACACCAAUUAGUCGAAAAUCAAAGUAAGAAAUCGUUAGAUCCCCAAACCGAACUGAAGUGGAACUGGCUAGAAUCCGGCCAGAUUAUAGCAAGAAACCAACUAAUCCACCAGCAGAGGCGGGACAACAGAAUCAAAACUCAGAAUCCGAUCAAAACAAAUAACAUUACACAAAAAUUAUCAAUCACAUUAACUACUCUAAAUGAUGUGCCAUGACUAUCUGAGCAACUAACUACACGAGCACCAUCAAAUUCACCCGAAUGGGUAACUGAAAUCGGAGACACAACUUCUUGUAACUCUAAUUUUGACUUGUUUGACAAUUUCUUGACUAAAGGAUCACUCUUCAAAAUAGGUUGAAUUACUGGCAGUGAAAAAUUAUUCAACUUGGAAGCAGUGGAGACCACAAAGGCAACCAGAACUACCCGCGAUCACCGCCUGGACUCAUCAUCUCCAUACACACUAGUUCUUAAAUAUCGCUUUCUUGACACCAUCCUCACCACUACUAUCAUUGUCAGGUCAGAUCUGACGUUAAUCGAAUCGGACCAAGUCUAAUUUCUGUAGACUAACAGACAUUCGAUUCGGUGAUGGUGUCGAACUGAGAAAAUGCCUCUAGAGACUGAUCAGUGGUGGGGAAUGAACGACAGAGGAGGAGGAGGAGGUGGUGCUGGAGGUACAAAAGGGUAUAGUGGUGGCGGCGGUGGGUGGAACGGUGGCAGAGGAACGUGGUAUCACGAUGCAAGAUAUGGAGGGGAAAGGAGGAAGAAGGAUGUUAUACUCAAUUUGGAUUAUUAAUUAAUUUAAUUAUUAAACUUACCUUCUGUCCUUGUCAGUGACACAUAGAUUUAAUCGAUUGACACGGAUUGCCACAUCUUUUUUUGUUAAAUGGUUAACAGACAUAGAUCGCAAAAUUAUUUUUUGUAAAUAAUGUAUAGUUCAAUAAAUUGAUUGUAAAAAAAUCAAUUCGGUGAUGCAUUUAUAAACCAACUCCAUGUAGAGUGGGAAAAAGUGUAUUUAAU
RNAcentral lists this long non-coding RNA (1133 nucleotides) under Panax ginseng (ginseng). RNAcentral describes it as "long non-coding RNA (PGIN_LNC018671)". The record is from RNAcentral. Lineage: Eukaryota; Viridiplantae; Streptophyta; Magnoliopsida; Apiales; Araliaceae.